AAAAGCUGUACGGCUAUGACGGAGAGGAGCUGCAUCUGGUGGCUUCCAGUUUCCUGGAACUAUGUGACAAAACGAUAGAGUAUCCAGCAUCCAAGCGCUACUACAAUGGAGAGGCCUUCAAAGAUAUGACUGAGGAGGACUGGAAAAAAGUUAAGAUGAGUGAUGUGGGGAGGAAACUGCAGGAAGAACAUAAAAAGCUGGUAAAUGAAACCCAGUCAGCGUUCGUAAGCCUAAUAUCAUAGAUUCUGGUAUUUGGCCAAAAGAGAGCUUCACAAUUCUUGGCUUCACCUGUGGUAGAAAAAUGACUAAAGUUAUGCAACACUCUCUAAAAUUAAAGCUAUGCAACGCUUUAACAUGAAUGGCGAAGGAGUGCAUCUCUUUCACUGUCUCUUCCUGUCCUCUUCUCAGUCUUUGUUGUGGCACCUCUGCUAUGUGUUAUAGAAAGCACUUGGAAUCAUGUUCAAUACAAAAACACCAAACUCGUGGGAUUGCCCUAGCAAGCAGUUGGUAAAAACUAAUUAAAACUGAUAUAUAUCAGCUUCACUUUCUAGCUGCAAAAGCACGUUUCUGCAAAAGCAUGCAGUUUCCUGUCAGCACUUUUUGGCACAGAGUGUACUCAGAGUUAGGCCUUUCUUAUAUAAAGCAAUAUAAUCAGCAUAUAAACAUUUAAGAUGAUAAAUUUAAAGCUCAACAGUAACUGCUAUAAAUAUUAUAACUACACAUGUAGUGCUUUUGCUUAAGUAAAUUAUAGUUGGGAUCAUAAUAAGAAAACAUGUGUUUUUAUUUUCUGUGUACCCUGGGUACAGACCAGUAUAAAAAUGGGAUUCUUCCCAAUAAAUGCUGUCUGAUAAUGCUUCAUAUUGCAUUAAACACUAGAUAUGUAAGCAAACAAACAAAAACCCAUAGAAGCCAGUUUUAAUUAUUAAAUGUGACAAUUACAUGGAGAUGGAAAGUAAACAUGCUUAUACACGUCUCUGUGAUUACAGAAAAUCCACACAGAUGCUGUCAGAGCAGAGAAUCUUUGAUUUAUCAGAAUGAUGAAUGCAAAUGAUUUCAUGAAAUCUCACUCUUGUUCUGGGUUGUAAAAUUCACCUGUCCAGUUAAACCGAAUCCUUUGCAACACGGUUCUAAGAACCCUACCAACCUCAUCCUCAGCUCUCUGCCUGUUGUCCUUUUCAGCUGAGUAUUCAUCCACAUGUGUUUCAACUUCUCUCUCAUUUUCAAGCAAAUUGCUCAGGCUCUCAGCUUCAGCACAGUUACCAUAUGGCCACUCUCUGAGGUCUUCUGUGUUCAAGCCAAACAAAUUCUUACAUGAUCUGCAAGGCUUCAUUCUGGCACCAUCACGGAGACAAAAAGCCUCACACCUGAUAUUUCCAGGUACUUCAAUUGUUCCAUCAAAGUAAUCUUUCUGGACUGUGUUUGGAUAAUAGGUCAUCACCGCACCAGAUACAUAUUUAUGCCAUUUGCUAAGACAGGAGGCAGCAAUCAUAAUUUUCCCAGCGUUAGGACCUUUGGUGGACAUGGAGACUCCGCAGUACCUUUCUGA
This is a non-coding RNA of Maylandia zebra (zebra mbuna), 1546 nucleotides long. Lineage: Eukaryota; Metazoa; Chordata; Actinopteri; Cichliformes; Cichlidae. The record is from RefSeq and is a predicted model, not a curated record.